UACGUAGGGUGCAAGCGUUGUCCGGAAUUAUUGGGCGUAAAGAGCUCGUAGGCGGUUUGUCGCGUCUGCUGUGAAAACUCGGGGCUUAACUCCGGGCCUGCAGUGGGUACGGGCAGACUAGAGUGCGGUAGGGGAGACUGGAAUUCCUGGUGUAGCGGUGAAAUGCGCAGAUAUCAGGAGGAACACCGGUUGCGAAGGCGGGUCUCUGGGCCGUAACUGACGCUGAGGAGCGAAAGCGUGGGGAGCGAACAGG
Molecule: ribosomal RNA, 253 nt
Filed under: uncultured bacterium
Lineage: Bacteria
Description: partial 16S ribosomal RNA
Rfam family: Bacterial small subunit ribosomal RNA
Source: RNAcentral